RNAcentral lists this transfer RNA (63 nucleotides) under Camelus bactrianus (Bactrian camel). It matches the Rfam family "tRNA", at positions 5 to 66 of the family's 71-position model. Rfam says of the family: Transfer RNA (tRNA) molecules are approximately 80 nucleotides in length. Their secondary structure includes four short double-helical elements and three loops (D, anti-codon, and T loops). Further hydrogen bonds mediate the characteristic L-shaped molecular structure. tRNAs have two regions of fundamental functional importance: the anti-codon, which is responsible for specific mRNA codon recognition, and the 3' end, to which the tRNAs corresponding amino acid is attached (by aminoacyl-tRNA synthetases). tRNAs cope with the degeneracy of the genetic code in two manners: having more than one tRNA (with a specific anti-codon) for a particular amino acid; and 'wobble' base-pairing, i.e. permitting non-standard base-pairing at the 3rd anti-codon position. The record is from Rfam by way of RNAcentral. RNAcentral also lists the same sequence under 2 other names. Lineage: Eukaryota; Metazoa; Chordata; Mammalia; Artiodactyla; Camelidae.
GUAUAGCACAGUGGUAAAGCACGUGCUUAGCAUGCAUGUGGUCCUGGGUUCAAUCCCCAGUAC